This 795-nucleotide ribosomal RNA is filed under the name uncultured archaeon. Its description in RNAcentral is "bacterial SSU rRNA". It matches the Rfam family "Archaeal small subunit ribosomal RNA", at positions 1 to 774 of the family's 1478-position model. The record is from RNAcentral.
UUCCGGUUGAUCCCGCCGGACCCGACUGCUAUCGGAGUGGGACUAAGCCAUGCGAGUCUACGUCCCGGGCUGGCGGGACGUGGCGUACGGCUCAGUUACACGUGGCCAACCUACCCUGCGGACGGCUAUAACCCCGGGAAACUGGGGCUAAUAGCCGAUAGGGGAUAGGCGCUGGAAGGCCCUAUCCCCGAGAAGGCUAGACACCCAUGCCGUGUGUAGCCGCCGCAGGAUGGGGCUGCGCCCUAUCAGGUAGUAGGUGGGGUAACGGCCCACCUAGCCUAUAACGGGUGCGGGCCCUGGGAGGGGGAGCCCGGAGAUGGGCACUGAGACAAGGGCCCAGGCCCUACGGGGCGCAGCAGGCGCGAAACAUCCGCUAUGCGCGAAAGCGCGACAGGGCCACUCCGAGUGCCGACCGCAAUGCGGUGGCUUUUGCCCAGUCCAACAAGGUUGGGCAGAAUAAGGGGGGGGCAAGAUUGGUGUCAGCCGCCGGCGUAAUACCAACCCUGCGAGUGAUCGGGAAGAUUAUUGGGCUUAAAGCGUCCGUAGCCGGUCCAGGAAGUCUCCCCUCAAAUCCCACGGCCCAACCGUGGGGCUGGGGGAGAUACUGCUGGGCUAGGGGGCGGGAGAGGCCGAGGGUACUCCCGGGGUAGGGGCGAAAUCCUAUAAUCCCGGGAGGACCACCAGUGGCGAAGGCGCUCGGCCAGAACGCGCCCGACGGUGAGGGACGAAAGCUGGGGGAGCAAAGGGGAUUAGAUACCCCCGUAGUCCCAGCUGUAAACGAUGCGGGCUAGGUGU